UCCGCCCUCCGCCGCCUCUCCCUUCUCCUCCCGUCGCGGCGCAGUGCGCCGUGCAGCGCUGGACCGACCUCCCUUCUCCUCACCCUCCCGUGCUACCUCUCUCAAUCCCCUUCUCUGCUGCUCCUCCCCAAUCCCCUGCAUCUACUCCCGGUGAGCCCCACCUCCCCUUGUCGCCAUGGCUGGCCGGUAGCCGCGCCGGCCUUGGGAGCGAGCGGCGACGGGUGGCUGAGGUCCCCAUCACCGUCGCCAUCUUCCCCGAGUUCCAGGAUCCAAAUCGAGUUCCCCGAGGUCCCCAUCACCCUACAACCCAGUGGUUUGCCGGUCGGCCAGCGGCCAUCUCUCUCUCCAUUCUUCCUCUCACAGAUUGGUCAGAGAUUGAUUUGUAUGCAGGUUUGCCGGCCGCCCAGGCAGCCAGGGAUCAAUCAAAUCUGCAGAAAAAAAAACGUGAAAUGUGAUCUACUAUGUGCUUUGCAAGACCGGCUUUUAGUUAAGCAGUGAUGCUUAUUUAUUAGGCACGGAAGAAUGGUUAUGGUUUGACCACAUGGAUUUGAGGUCAUGCAUUGCAGCCACAAUCUGGCCAUUCUCUUGUUUCAAAAGAAUGAAGGUGUGGAUGUUUGUCUAUUCGCCAAGUAUGUACAAGAGUAUGGUUCUGCUAGCCCAUCACCAAACCGAAGGCAUGUUUAUCUUGCAUAUAUUGAUUCUGUCAAGUACUUGAGGCCUGAAAUCAAAUCUACAAGUGGGGAAGCUCUCCGUACCUUCGUGUAUUUGGACUACUGCAAGAAACAAGGGUUUGUAAGCUUCUCCAUAUGGGCUUGCCCAUCUACAAAGCGUGAUGACUAUGUUUUGUACUGUCAUCCCACGUCACAGAAAAUGCCAAAGCCUCACAAGCUUUGGAGCUGGUAUUUCAUUAUAUGGAAGGCACCGGUUUUAUUGAUGAGAUCUGAGUUCUUCUUUUGAGUGGAAUGUUUCUCUCACUCACCGGUUGACGGAUCUUCAUCGGAGUUGAAAAGCAGCUCGUUCAUGCUUAAAUUGCCUCUCUCCGCGUCUAGAUAGAUAAGGGGGCUUAUAUUUUGAUACAAAACUGAUAAACUGUGUGUGCUUCUCAUUACUCCAAAUUUGGUUGUCAGCUUGCUCUUUUGCUUAGUUUCUUUAGUAUGUAGUUUGUUCUAGCUCACCAUGGCAUACUCAGGAGCAUGAAAUAUGUAAAUUCCUGGUU
Lolium perenne is the source of this 1216-nucleotide long non-coding RNA. RefSeq lists it as uncharacterized. NCBI's taxonomy places the organism in Eukaryota, Viridiplantae, Streptophyta, Magnoliopsida, Poales, Poaceae. The record is from RefSeq and is a predicted model, not a curated record.